UGGGGAAUUUUGGACAAUGGGCGCAAGCCUGAUCCAGCCAUGCCGCGUGCGGGAAGAAGGCCUUCGGGUUGUAAACCGCUUUUGUCAGGGAAGAAAUCUUCUGAGUUAAUACCUCGGGAGGAUGACGGUACCUGAAGAAUAAGCACCGGCUAACUACGUGCCAGCAGCCGCGGUAAUACGUAGGGUGCAAGCGUUAAUCGGAAUUACUGGGCGUAAAGCGUGCGCAGGCGGUUUUGUAAGACAGAGGUGAAAUCCCCGGGCUCAACCUGGGAACUGCCUUUGUGACUGCAAGGCUUGAGUGCGGCAGAGGGGGGAUGGAAUUCCGCGUGUAGCAGUGAAAUGCGUAGAUAUGCGGAGGAACACCGAUGGCGAAGGCGAUCCCCUGGGCCUGCACUGACGCUCAUGCACGAAAGCGUGGGGAGCAAACAGGAUUAGAUACCCUGGUAGUCCACGCCCUAAACGAUGUCAACUGGUUGUUGGGAAGGUUCCUUCUCAGUAACGUAGCUAACGCGUGAAGUUGACCGCCUGGGGAGUACGGCCGCAAGGUUG
Molecule: ribosomal RNA, 549 nt
Filed under: uncultured bacterium
Lineage: Bacteria
Description: partial 16S ribosomal RNA
Rfam family: Bacterial small subunit ribosomal RNA
Source: RNAcentral